This 253-nucleotide ribosomal RNA is filed under the name uncultured bacterium. RNAcentral's name for it is "partial 16S ribosomal RNA". It matches the Rfam family "Bacterial small subunit ribosomal RNA", at positions 524 to 776 of the family's 1533-position model. The record is from RNAcentral.
UACGUAGGGUGCGAGCGUUGUCCGGAAUUACUGGGCGUAAAGAGCUCGUAGGCGGUUUGUCGCGUCUGCCGUGAAAGUCCGGGGCUCAACUCCGGAUCUGCGGUGGGUACGGGCAGACUAGAGUGAUGUAGGGGAGACUGGAAUUCCUGGUGUAGCGGUGAAAUGCGCAGAUAUCAGGAGGAACACCGGUGGCGAAGGCGGGUCUCUGGGCCGAUACUGACGCUGGGGAGCGAAAGCGUGGGGAGCGAACAGG